This 468-nucleotide ribosomal RNA is filed under the name uncultured bacterium. RNAcentral's name for it is "partial 16S ribosomal RNA". It matches the Rfam family "Bacterial small subunit ribosomal RNA", at positions 28 to 507 of the family's 1533-position model. The record is from RNAcentral.
GACGAACGCUGGCGGCGUGCUUAACACAUGCAAGUCGAACGGAAAGGCCCUGCUUUUGUGGGGUGCUCGAGUGGCGAACGGGUGAGUAACACGUGAGUAACCUGCCCUUGACCUUGGGAUAACUUCAGGAAACUGGGGCUAAUACCGGAUAGGAGCUCCUGCUGCAUGGUGGGGGUUGGAAAGUUUCGGCGGUUGGGGAUGGACUCGCGGCUUAUCAGCUUGUUGGUGGGGUAGUGGCUUACCAAGGCUUUGACGGGUAGCCGGCCUGAGAGGGUGACCGGCCACAUUGGGACUGAGAUACGGCCCAGACUCCUACGGGAGGCAGCAGUGGGGAAUAUUGCACAAUGGGCGGAAGCCUGAUGCAGCAACGCCGCGUGCUGGAUGACGGCCUUCGGGUUGUAAACCGCUUUCGCCUGUGACGAAGCGUGAGUGACGGUAAUGGGUAAAGAAGCACCGGCUAACUACGUG